Molecule: ribosomal RNA, 274 nt
Filed under: uncultured bacterium
Lineage: Bacteria
Description: partial 16S ribosomal RNA
Rfam family: Bacterial small subunit ribosomal RNA
Source: RNAcentral
AUACGUAGGGUGCGAGCGUUAAUCGGAAUUACUGGGCGUAAGGCGUGCGCAGGUGGUUUUGUAAGUCAGAUGUGAAAUCCCCGGGCUUAACCUGGGAACUGCGUUUGAAACUGCAAGGCUAGAGUGUGGCAGAGGGGGGUGGAAUUCCGCGUGUAGCAGUGAAAUGCGUAGAGAUGCGGAGGAACACCGAUGGCGAAGGCAGCCCCCUGGGUCAGCACUGACGCUCAGGCACGAAAGCAUGGGGAGCAAACAGGAUUAGAAACCCCAGUAGUCC